RNAcentral lists this long non-coding RNA (514 nucleotides) under Salvia miltiorrhiza (redroot sage). Its description in RNAcentral is "long non-coding RNA (SMIL_LNC008050)". Lineage: Eukaryota; Viridiplantae; Streptophyta; Magnoliopsida; Lamiales; Lamiaceae. The record is from RNAcentral.
CCAACAGUGAUGUUAGAAAAAGGGGAAAUUACCUAGCAGUGAUGUUAGAAAAAGGGGAAAUUACCAACAGUGAUGUUAGAAAAAGGGGAAAUUACCUAGCACUAGAAGGAAAAACUAAUGAUGUUAGAAAAAAAAUAUCUAAAGUAUUUAAUUAAAGAAUUAAGUACUUGGUUUCUACAUUUUUUUUUGUUAGUUCAGGCUGUCAAAGAGAGCAACAGUACACUCACCAGAGCCAUGGCUUCACAGGUCCAAUCACUCACUUUCUCAAUUCAAAGAAUCUAAAUAAAAAAUAAAAAUCAAAAGCAAUCACAGAAACUAAACCACUAUAAAUCAAAAAAAUAUAACUCGAGUUACACAUUUCAUGGGAGUAACUUUGAAAUAAAUAUAUAUUGGAAAGAAAAUCGAUAAGAACAAAGACAAUGAUCGUCUUCGUGCUAUGUAGAAAUUACUCGUGUGUAUAAAGUAAGCAUGAUUUGCAGUAUGUAAGAAGCAGUACUUACUGGGCACAUUCAGC